RNAcentral lists this long non-coding RNA (445 nucleotides) under Helianthus annuus (common sunflower). Lineage: Eukaryota; Viridiplantae; Streptophyta; Magnoliopsida; Asterales; Asteraceae. The record is from RNAcentral.
UUGAAGAUUUGCAGGAUAUCCUUGAACUUUCACUGUGCAGGGAUGAGGAUGACCAGAGUGCAAAGGAAUUUGAAGCUGUAUUCAAAGAACAAGCUAAGGCACUCUUAAUGAGUAAUAAAGGGUUUUGGCAUUAUCUGUUCCAGGGGGAGAUUGUUGGGAUUGAACCCUAACAGAGGAACAGAUAAUGUAAAGCCAAAACCGGAUCCCAUCAGUGGACUUCAAAUAAGCAGCAGUUUACUCUAAUCUCUCCCCUUGACAGUGGUUAUCUAACAACUGAUAAUCUUAAGUGCUGCUCAACUACAACAACUGAUAAACCAAACUCUGAUGAUUACCUAACAACUGCUAAAGACAAACUCUGUUGCUCUAUCUACUGUUGUUUCCUAAGUGCUGCUGAAGACUCAAGCACUGCCCUCUCAAAGACUGAUCACCUUUGAAGAAAGCAUUG